AACACCAGGUAUCCACCACACACCAACGCCAGGCAUCAACCACACACCAACACCAGGCAUCAACCACACAUCAACACCAGGCAUCAACCACACACCAACACCAGGUAUCCAC
Sycon ciliatum is the source of this 112-nucleotide long non-coding RNA. RefSeq lists it as uncharacterized. NCBI's taxonomy places the organism in Eukaryota, Metazoa, Porifera, Calcarea, Leucosolenida, Sycettidae. The record is from RefSeq and is a predicted model, not a curated record. The transcript is spliced from 2 exons.